Oreochromis aureus is the source of this 609-nucleotide long non-coding RNA. NCBI's taxonomy places the organism in Eukaryota, Metazoa, Chordata, Actinopteri, Cichliformes, Cichlidae. The record is from Ensembl.
CUGAACACGUCAGCGGGAACAGACGAACCUUCGCCAUCAUGUCCAGGAUCACAGGGAUCACGCUGCUGCUCAUCGUUCUGGUCAGCAGCUUGUGUGACAGCACAGAGUCUGUUGCUCAGUCUGGUGUGACCAAACUGGAUAUUCUCAGAUGCAGAUGCACCCAGUCUUCCAGAGGCAAGCUUAGGUGUCCCCAACCACUCAUGGCCACAGACAGCAAAGAGAAACAGGCUCUGAAAAAAUGCCUCUGCAGCGCAGGAAAACAAAACAAGCGUCCAGAGCUUCUGCGAUUCUGCCGUGUGAUCGACUUUCCUACACCGCUCUAAGAUAAACAAGUCCAGUCACUGACUAACCAAACUUAAUAUCCUGUUACGUAUGACAUUAAUCUUGUUAUGUAGAUGUUUGUGAUUUUCUCUGAAAUUGUAAAUAAAGACAGAUAUUUUUUUAUUACAUACAGUCUCGUGUCCUUUUGUGUUUCCACAUAUUUAACUGAAAAAGUCCUCAAUCUUGAGAACAACUGAAAUGAACAUUUUUAAUAUCCAAUUAUUCAAUUUUUUGUCCUUUUUUUUAGUAUUUUGAAACUUUAAAAAUAUGAAAGGGAAACCAUUAUUG